CAACGGUUUCAUGUGGCAGAGACUUCUACAAUUGGUCAAGACAACCACUUGGAAAUCAGUUCCAAAUUUCCAUGUUUCUGAAAAAGACUGAGGGUCUCGGGAACGUUAAACGCACCUCAUGAAACAAGUGUAGAAGAGAAAUUUGGAACUGAAAUA
This 156-nucleotide unclassified non-coding RNA is filed under the name Octopus sinensis (East Asian common octopus). RNAcentral's name for it is "uncharacterized LOC118766599, transcript variant X1". Lineage: Eukaryota; Metazoa; Mollusca; Cephalopoda; Octopoda; Octopodidae. The record is from RNAcentral.